UACGUAGGGUGCGAGCGUUAAUCGGAAUUACUGGGCGUAAAGCGUGCGCAGGCGGUUCGUUGUGUCGGCGGUGAAAGCCCCGGGCUCAACCUGGGAAUGGCCGUUGAAACUGGCGAACUGGAGUGUGGCAGAGGGGGGUGGAAUUCCGCGUGUAGCAGUGAAAUGCGUAGAGAUGCGGAGGAACACCGAUGGCGAAGGCAGCCCCCUGGGCUGACACUGACGCUCAGGUGCGAAAGCCAGGGGAGCGAACGGG
Molecule: ribosomal RNA, 253 nt
Filed under: uncultured bacterium
Lineage: Bacteria
Description: partial 16S ribosomal RNA
Rfam family: Bacterial small subunit ribosomal RNA
Source: RNAcentral